AAGCGGAGACCUCGAGGUGCAGGACUGUCGGGGCGAGGUGGCCGAGGCAGGUCAAAGCUGAAAAGUGGAAUCGGAGCUGUUGUAUUGCCUGGGGUGUCUACUGCAGAUAUUUCAUCAAAUAAGGAUGAUGAAGAAAACUCUAUGCACAAUACAGUUGUGUUGUUUUCUAGCAGUGACAAGUUCACUUUGAAUCAGGUUUGAACUUGACAAUUUACUGUCUUCC
This 223-nucleotide long non-coding RNA is filed under the name Pan troglodytes (chimpanzee). Its description in RNAcentral is "long non-coding RNA NONPTRT016451". The record is from RNAcentral. Lineage: Eukaryota; Metazoa; Chordata; Mammalia; Primates; Hominidae.